AUUGAACGCUGGCGGAAUGCUUUACACAUGCAAGUCGAACGGCAGCAUAGGUGCUUGCACCUGAUGGCGAGUGGCGAACGGGUGAGUAAUACAUCGGAACGUGCCCAGUCGUGGGGGAUAACGUAGCGAAAGUUACGCUAAUACCGCAUACGAUCUACGGAUGAAAGCGGGGGACCGUAAGGCCUCGCGCGAUUAGAGCGGCCGAUGCCUGAUUAGCUAGUUGGUGGGGUAAAAGCCCACCAAGGCGACGAUCAGUAGCUGGUCUGAGAGGACGAUCAGCCACACUGGGACUGAGACACGGCCCAGACUCCUACGGGAGGCAGCAGUGGGGAAUUUUGGACAAUGGGCGCAAGCCUGAUCCAGCCAUUCCGCGUGCAGGACGAAGGCCUUCGGGUUGUAAACUGCUUUUGUACAGAACGAAAAGCCUUGGGUUAAUACCCUGGGGUCAUGACGGUACUGUAAGAAUAAGCACCGGCUAACUACGUG
This 486-nucleotide ribosomal RNA is filed under the name uncultured bacterium. RNAcentral describes it as "bacterial SSU rRNA". It matches the Rfam family "Bacterial small subunit ribosomal RNA", at positions 30 to 507 of the family's 1533-position model. The record is from RNAcentral.